CAGCAGCCGCGGUAAUACGUAGGGGGCAAGCGUUGUCCGGAAUCAUUGGGCGUAAAGCGCGCGUAGGCGGCCCGGUAAGUCCGCUGUAAAAGUCAGGGGCUCAACCCUUGAACGCCGGUGGAUACUGCCGGGCUAGAGUCCGGAAGAGGCGAGUGGAAUUCCUGGUGUAGCGGUGGAAUGCGCAGAUAUCAGGAGGAACACCAAUAGCGAAGGCAGCUCGCUGGGACGGUACUGACGCUGAGGCGCGAAAGCGUGGGGAGCGAACAGGAUUAGAUACCCUGGUAGUCCACGCCGUAAACGAUGGGCACUAGGUGUGGGAGGUGUCGACUCCUUCCGUGCCGUCGCUAACACACUAAGUGCCCCGCCUGGGGAGUACGGCCGCAAGGCUAAAACUCAAAGGAAUUGACGG
RNAcentral lists this ribosomal RNA (409 nucleotides) under uncultured bacterium. RNAcentral's name for it is "bacterial SSU rRNA". It matches the Rfam family "Bacterial small subunit ribosomal RNA", at positions 509 to 916 of the family's 1533-position model. The record is from RNAcentral.